Molecule: long non-coding RNA, 1631 nt
Organism: Wasmannia auropunctata (little fire ant)
Lineage: Eukaryota; Metazoa; Arthropoda; Insecta; Hymenoptera; Formicidae
Exons: 2
Source: RefSeq, a predicted model, not a curated record
CUGACGUAUAUACGGUUGUCGCAGGUUCUCCCGGAGAUUCUUGUCGCGUGCAGUGAGUCCUGCCGUCCGCCCGCGUCGAUUGUCGUUCUCUUUUUCGUAGAGCGUAGCAAUUUAUUUGUCGCUAUACGCAUUGACCGCGUAGCGAUCGAGGUUGUCGGCCAGACAGCGCGUUUGUUCCCGCGUCUUGUUUUCAUUUGUCGUCGCGUGCGCGGUAAACUGUGCCAGAAGUCGCAAUUGCGAAAUCACAAUCACAAUAGGAUAGGAUUUUCAGAGAUCGGGGAUGUCCCGCAGUGAUAGCGCGGCGAGAUAAUGCAGGCUGUUUUCUUCCACACAUCGUACCACAAAGAAAAAUAAAGGAACGAUAAUCUAUUAGCGGAAUGAUUUGUCAUACGAGGAUCGGUGUGUGAAGAAUAUUAAUCGCCAAUUAUUCGUCGAUGAUUCGACGCGAAAGAAGAUGACUGGUCUACAGCAUGGAAAAAUUCUGAGAGGCAAAUAUGGAAAUAUUGCAUUAGAAUGAUAAUAGAGAUUUUUCGACUCGCUUCUGAAACAGAAAAGCGAUUAUCGAGAAAACUUCGUAGAAGAUAUUUUGACCAAAGAAAGAAUUACUCGUGAACAAAUCUCUUCAAAGGAAUAUUUCUCAAAGGAUUUUAUAAAUAAUUUAAAAAAAUAUAUCUUCUACAGAAAAGUUUAAAGAAGAAAUUUAUUAGAAACAUCUGCCGGAAGAACAUUCAAAGGGAUACUUUCAGCUGGAGCUGUUCGUAAAAGGAAACAUGUCGGAAAAAAAUUCUUUGCAAGAUUAUAUACUCGCUAAAGAGAAAUUUUCUAAGGAAUAUUUUUAUGCGCGUUUAAUUCCUAAUGAAAAAUGCGUUUAGAAAGAAAUGCUACUAAUGAAGAGAUAAGUUGUUCGUUCGAGAAGAUCUACGACGAUUUCGAGGAAUUCUUCUGGAAACAUUCUAGGACUUCUGAAACACUAUUAAAGUGCUGUCGGUGACGCGUUUUUAUGAAAGAGAAAGAUAUUUUCUCUGUCACUCAACAAUCACUUUUCUUCCUUGAAGACUCUUUUGAAGAGACUUUAAAAGAAAAAAAAACGGAGCAAUUUCCAUUUUCUUUCCAUCUAAAUUUCCAUAAUCAGUCGUUUCUUAUUUCCAAAGUCAACAAAGUUUCCGCCAAGGUUUCCGCUCCCGGGGAUUCAGUGGAGAUUGAUAUCUCUUUGUCGUAUAACUGCUAGACACAAGAAUGACAGUCGAGGUGAUGUUCUUGCAAGUGCUGGGGGGCGUCGCGACGCUGGGUCGGCGAAUUGAGCGUCGUAACUUCGGUUUUACGUAAUGCCAAUCUGCUGCUAUUGCUGCUGCUGCUGCUACCAACACCGUCGGGUGGGACUUGUCAAGGUCACGGGCCGCGGAAAACGCGCUGCAGAUCCGUAACGAGUCGCUGCCAUUGAUUCUAUUAAUCUAGUGAGAAGCAAAACGUUCCACCAGUCAAGUUGAACGAGCGGAAGUCUUCAAAGGCAACAAAGCACAGGUGAAAAGGCCGAAGUAAUCCAGUGAAUCAAUCGAUUUAACGGGAUUUAACGGGAUCAUAGAAAAGGUGCAUACGCGUAAGCAAACAAAAAGAACGAAGAAAACUUGAAA